Molecule: long non-coding RNA, 892 nt
Filed under: Oryctolagus cuniculus (rabbit)
Lineage: Eukaryota; Metazoa; Chordata; Mammalia; Lagomorpha; Leporidae
Description: lncRNA (ENSOCUG00000035544.1)
Source: RNAcentral
GAAAAAGUUUUAGUGGAAUACUUUUCAGUGUGAAUAAGGAAUAUAUAACAAUGACGAUGAACAUAAAGGAGUAUAUAUCACUCAAGAUAUUGUAGCACACUCAAAUUAGGUAAAUGAGACAUUUAAUAAGGAGCAUAUUUACAAAGUUGUCUGCAGGAUGCACAAAAAAAUUCAUCAAAGGGUACUGAUGCCUGCUGUGCAUUAACAGUACGGGAAAUAGUACUACCCUUGGAGGGUCAAGUGGAUCACUUAUCAAAAACUAGAGAGAGCAGCAGCUGCCCAGGAGGCCUUGUUCACUUCAGUUGGGAAAGGCAGCCUACUCAGAGGCCCAUAAAGUAGGAGCCAGAGGAAUACACACUUUGACGUCUCUUUGGUCUCUCUCUCUCUUUCUCUCUCUUUUCUCUCUCUUUCUCUCUCUCUCUCUCUCUGUAAUCUCCUAUUAGGGCCUCCCAUUGGACAGAUCCAACUCAAAGGCAGAGGGCCAGGUGGGCCGUUGACAACGUCCACUAGGAUCAGUCUCCCUGGAUACAGAGCAGAGUGGAGAAGGAUGGAGUGGCUCUUUGGAGAGAGGCGUCUUAUGAACAGAACACACUUCUGAGAAUGUGAGAAAGGAGCAGAUAAAAGAGAAAACGAAGAGAUUCCCCUUUCAUUGGAAAAGAAACCUCCCCUCCAUGAUGAAAGGAGAAAAAGGAGCCCAGCAAGGAUCUGAAAAAAAAGAGUUGAGAAUGCAUGAAAAGUUUUUGAAAAACGUGGAAGGACAAUCUACCCAGAGAAAUGAAGUCAGUUGGCCAGGAGCCUCCAAAGCCCAGGAGUGACUGCCAAGUGGACAGAAGACUGGGAAAGCAUCUGCCACAUGGAAUUUCUUAGGCAAAUAAAAUUCAAGAGGUCCCCA